GAUGAACGCUAGCGACAGGCCUAACACAUGCAAGUCGAGGGGCAGCACAAAGUAGCAAUACUUGGUGGCGACCGGCGCACGGGUGAGUAACACGUAUGCAACCUACCUGUAAGCGGGGAAUAACCCGGAGAAAUUCGGACUAACACCGCAUAAUACUGAAUUACUGCAUGGUUUUUCAGUUAAAUAUUUAUAGCUUACAGAUGGGCAUGCGUAUGAUUAGAUAGUUGGUAGGGUAACGGCCUACCAAGUCAACGAUCAUUAGGGGUUCUGAGAGGAAGGUCCCCCACACUGGUACUGAGACACGGACCAGACUCCUACGGGAGGCAGCAGUGAGGAAUAUUGGUCAAUGGGCGAGAGCCUGAACCAGCCAAGUCGCGUGAAGGAAGAAGGUUCUAUGGAUUGUAAACUUCUUUUGUAAGGGAAUAAAAAGUGGUACGUGUACCAUAUUGUAUGUACUUUACGAAUAAGCAUCGGCUAACUCCGUGCCAGCAGCCGCGGUAAACUGU
RNAcentral lists this ribosomal RNA (506 nucleotides) under uncultured bacterium. RNAcentral's name for it is "bacterial SSU rRNA". It matches the Rfam family "Bacterial small subunit ribosomal RNA", at positions 28 to 528 of the family's 1533-position model. The record is from RNAcentral.